UUCCGGUUGAUCCUGCCGGAGGUCACCGCUAUUGGAAUCUGCUUAAGCCAUGCGAGUCGAGAGGGUUCGGCCCUCGGCGGACUGCUCAGUAACACGUGGACAAUCUGCCCUUAGGCGGGGGAUAACCCCGGGAAACUGGGAACAAUACCCCAUAGAUCUAGAAUGCUGGAAUGCUUUUAGGUUCAAAGCUACGGCGCCUAAGGAUGAGUCUGCGGCCUAUCAGGUAGUAGGAGGUGUAAAGGACCCCCUAGCCAUUGACGGGUACGGGCCUUGGGAGAGGUAGCCCGGAGAUGGACUCUGAGACACGAGUCCAGGCCCUACGGGGCGCAGCAGGCGCGAAAACUGCACAAUGUGGGAAACCACGAUGCGGAGAUUCCAAGUGCCUAUGCUUUGCAUAGGCUGUUCGGAUAUCUAAAAAAUAUCUGAAGUAAGGGCCGGGUAAGACGGGUGCCAGCCGCCGCGGUAAUACCCGCGGCCCGAGUGGUGAUCGUUAUUAUUGAGCCUAAAGCGUCCGUAGCCGGCUCAGUAAAUCCUUGGGUAAAUCGGGCAGCUUAACUGUCCGAAUUCUGGGGAGACUGCUGGGCUUGGGACCGGAGGAGGUCGGAGGUACUCAAGGGGUAGGGGUGAAAUCCUGUAAUCCUUGGAGGACCACCAGUGGCGAAGGCGUCCGACUAAGACGGAUCCGACGGUAAGGGACGAAGCCCUGGGUCGCGAACGGGAUUAGAUACCCCGGUAGUCCAGGGUGUAAACGCUGCAGGCUUGGUGUCGGGGAUCCUACGAGGGUGCCCGGUGCCGUAGCGAAGGUGUUAAGCCUGCCGCUUGGGGAGUACGAUCGCAAGAUUGAAACUUAAAGGAAUUGGCGGGGGAGCACCGCAACGGGUGGAGCGUGCGGUUCAAUUGGAUUCAACGCCGG
Molecule: ribosomal RNA, 913 nt
Filed under: uncultured archaeon
Lineage: Archaea
Description: bacterial SSU rRNA
Rfam family: Archaeal small subunit ribosomal RNA
Source: RNAcentral